AAAGAAAAGGAACAUGGAUUAUCCCAUGUAGAGGUAUUUGUUUUUUUAAUGCUCCCAGCCUGGAUAUGGUGCACAUCACUUCCAUUCGUAUUCCAUGGCAACACCUAACUGCAAAGGAGGCUGGAAAAUAACAAUGAGCUGUGUGCUAUAGGAGGAAGACGAUAUGGGCUUCCAGCUUUACGCCCCUCCUUGACAUAGUACUGUCAUCACAUCACCUGGAACUCAUGGUUGCACCCACUCUUUCACACACUUGGCCUUCCCCCCUGAAUCGCCUUUGAGGACAGGAAACAUGCCUACCUUCAUAAGCCCAGGGCUUGGCUCGGUACAGUCCCUCCUCCUUUAACAAACAUUGGCUUCUAAAGGACUUUGGUGGUUCACUGUGUAUGGAUUGGCACCAAGAGACCGAUCACCACUUUGGAGAGAAUGACUCAAAAUCCACAGGCUGCUAUCUCUGAACCCUCCAAGUUGACGCCUGGAGCAUUUCCCAUACCUUCCAUGCCACUCUGAGGCUGCAGACCCUUCUGAGAUGAGAAAAUUAAAACUGAAGGAGAAGAAAGAUCUCAAGGUCGCCCACCUGGUAUUCGGCAGAGACAUCUCCAGAAUCAACUCAUCUAAACUCCACGUGGGAUCCUUUCUUAUUAUACCAAGUGGUCUGGAGUAGAGGUGAGGGGGGCUGUCCCCAGGAUUACAGACAGCAAGCCCGUGACUGAACAGGCUGUAGGAACCAGAGCCAUGGUUUCAAGAGUUCAGGAGCAUACGUGAAUAAUGUGUUUCCUAAGGAGAAGAGAAGAAAAAACAAGACAAAACAACACUGAAACUAAUUAUGUAGGUGUGCAGCAAAUUCAUUUUGGCCCAGCACAUGCUCUACUGUGAGAUCUGGCCAUCUAACCUGGUCUGAACUGAAUGCCACAUGCCUUUCGGUCCCAGUACCCAUCCACUGCUUGUACUUACUCUUACUUUGCUGCUUCCAUUUAAGGGCCCUCAGAAACAGGGAUGUGAAAUGCUUCAUGUAAGGGAAGGCACUGGGAAUAAACAGAAAAGAGAAUCUGGGGGUGAGGGAGAGAGUUGAGCUUGGUUUUCUGCUGGAGGCUACAUUUUUAUUUUUUUCCGACUGGCACGCGUCUUCUUUGUUUUGAAUAAUGGAGAUAAUUAUACAUUCAAGGGAUCACACUCUAAACCCCCCAAAUGAUUAAGAAAUCUUAUUGCAGGCAAUCAUGAGAAAAUGUAAGGGAGGAUUACCCAGAGAGACAAUGCAAAUCAUACAUCUUCAAGUGCCUCGCUUAGCACAGAGACCUAAUCACCAUUCUCCUCUCUUUCCCAUGGCUGAAUUGUUUAUAUUCCAGGCCUCUCUCAGGGCACAGCAAUGUUCUUUCCUAAACCCUGCUCAUGUGUAGUCAAAGGUUCGGAUGGGUCCCUCUUGGGAAACUGCUACCUCGGUGAUUUUGAUUCCGACCUGUAAGCUCCCAUUUACCAGCAACUGGGAAUAGAACAAAAGCUUGCAUUAUGUUCAGGCUGCAAGAUUCUUUAUCUAGGGAGAAAGGAAUCCUGUGUAUCAUUUGCUCAAUUCAACAAAUAUUUAUUGGGCAGCAACCACAAAGCAGACAGUACUCUAAAAGCUGGGCUAAAACAGUGGAAAAAAUAUAAUCCCUGACCUUAUGGGUCUAUAUCUAGUCAAGCCAGAUAGAUAGACAAGGAAAUAGGAAAAUCAAAUGUGUGUCAUGAAGGAUAUGAAAAAAGUAAGUCCAGAUUGUUCAGGGGUUGCCUGGGUGGAGCAAAUCAAUUCGAAGAGUACAUGGAAUUAACAAGGAAAAGAGCUUAGAGGGAGCAUCUGUCAGGUGGAGGGGACAAAUGUGAAGCCCUGCAGAUGAGAGAGGUCAUGGAUUGUUGACAAAACUAGGGUGGGACUGAUCAAACCUUGGGAAGGGGAACAGCAGACACGUGGAUAAGGAGGGAAGAUGACCAAGGAUGGGGCUGGGAAUAUCAGCUGAUGCCAACCAGGAAGGGUCUUGUGAGCCUUAUCCCGAGGAUAUGGAAGGCAGGCAUUUCGGAAGGCAAUGCAGAGUCUCAAAAGUGUUUUGAUGACAGUGGGGGAUCGGAUCAGGUUUAUCUUCUUACCAUACCUCGCUGUCCAGGGAUCACAUAUCUGACUCACUACGCCCUCAGGUGUAUGGUGUAACAAGAAGAAGAAGAAGAAGAAGAAGAGCUAAUACAUAUUGUGUUAGUAUGUGCCUGGGAUUGUGUUAAGCACUUUACCUGAAUUAUACGAUUUACUCCUUACAACAGUCCUAUGAAAUAGAUAUUACUAUUAUCUGUAACUGACAAAUGAGGAAACUGAGGCACAGAGGUUGAGUAACAUGCCCAAGAGUGUACAGUUCUUAAGGUGAGGAGCUGGAAUUGAAAGUCAAUGCAGUCUACCUCCAAAGCUCAGACUAAACAUGGGCCUGUGAGUGAAAAAAAUCAAAUACAACUUCCAGCUCUGGUUCUCAGUGUGAUCGUGGGCUUUCACUCUCUGGUCUCCUUGUCUUUAAAUAAGAAGAAUGAGCUACGUAACUUUCAAUCCUCUUUCUCUUGUCUAAUAUCAAGAUAUUGUAUUUGUCUUAGAUGUCAGCAGAAAAGCAAUAGUUCAGGGUAGUCAUUUGACUCUUAACUGUUCUUAAGGCAAGAAAUAGUUACAAGACAUCAACCCCUAUAGAAGAUUUAUGAUCUCUCUCGGGGAUAAUUCCAAAUCUUUCUUCCUCUCCCCUCACUCUCUCAGUCGUCUUUCCCAAGGUUUGUGAUGGAAAUCCAGUGACAGAGCGAUUUCCACGUGUUGACUGUCAGUGGAUCAGAAAAUACAAUAUCACUGGAACUUCCCCCCCACACGUCACUGUCAUCAGGUUUUGUCUUCUUUGUGGUCCAUCGACAGUGACAAUAAUCCAGGCUCUGUUUUCUCUCUGUCAAUUACACUUUAAGCUGGUCAGGGUGAGACUUCUCAUUAAAGAAAAAUCAACGGCUCUGAAAAAGCAGGUGUUAAAAGUUAACAAAAGGAUUGAAUAUUCAUAAUGGUUAAAUUGUGUUUGUUUAACCAAUUUUUGUGUUUGGCAUGGCCAACAGGUACCUUUUCCUGAAUUUGCACCACCGUCCAUAAUAUAGAAUGGAAGUCGUGACUGGCAAAAAAAAAAACGGUUAGAGAAAGGUAGAGGCCCAUCCUAUUUUAGUGUCUUCAGGAUGCCAGGGGACUCUCCAUGCUCAGUUGGGUUUUGAUACUGGAGACAUAACUCAGCGGUCUCAGCUGCAGAAUUCUUAGACUUCGUGGAACCACAGGUCUAAAAUCUUGGCAAGCCUGAGUCAUGGCUUCAGUCUCUGUCUCCUUCGAAAAAAAUCUGAAGAGCAAGUGAUUUAUGGUAUUUCUUCUUCUAGAAGAGCUCUCCAACCCCUGGCCACUGAAUGGACUUUGAAAUAUGCCCACAGGGAUCCUUUAUCCACGGACAAUCUCUGAGUGCUUAUUAUUCACUUUACUAGUGUAGAAGCUCUUUAAUCAUUGUCUCUGCGUUUGCUUUAAUCUAGAAACUGUCAAUUUAUUAGCUCAUAAUGUGCCUGAAGCUUUUCACCAUCUUACUGGAGAAAGACUUGUAUAAAUCCAGGAGAUGAUUCUAAAGAAGUCAGAUUGAUAUGAGAUAAGGAUAUGAAGAGACAAAAUAAUAUAGCAAUUAGAGUACAGAACUAAAGUUUAUUUAUGAAAAAAAGCAUUCUAUAUUUUGUUUCAAGAAGAGUAAAAUCAUUUUUAACUCCACCCAGUGAUAACUGAUGAGUGAGUAAAAGAAUUAUUUAUUAUAAACAUGAAAUUAUCCAUCACAAAGGAUUUUCAGCACCAAAGUCUUAGGAAGUUACCCAGAGUGCACACUGGAGGGAUACUCCUGAAAAUGAAAGUGGUUAAGAAA
Molecule: long non-coding RNA, 3920 nt
Organism: Orcinus orca (killer whale)
Lineage: Eukaryota; Metazoa; Chordata; Mammalia; Artiodactyla; Delphinidae
Exons: 5
Source: RefSeq, a predicted model, not a curated record